RNAcentral lists this ribosomal RNA (397 nucleotides) under uncultured bacterium. RNAcentral describes it as "bacterial SSU rRNA". It matches the Rfam family "Bacterial small subunit ribosomal RNA", at positions 28 to 428 of the family's 1533-position model. The record is from RNAcentral.
GACGAACGCUGGCGGCGUGCUUAACACAUGCAAGUCGAGCGGUAAGGCCCUUUCGGGGGUACGACGAGCGGCGAACGGGUGAGUAACACGUGGGUGACCUGCCCUCAGCUCUGGGAUAAGCCUGGGAAACCGGGUCUAAUACCGGACAUGACUCCAUGACGCAUGUUGUGGGGUGGAAAGCCUUGUGCGGCUGAGGAUGGGCCCGCGGCCUAUCAGCUUGUUGGUGGGGUGAUGGCCUACCAAGGCGACGACGGGUAGCCGGCCUGAGAGGGCGACCGGCCACACUGGGACUGAGACACGGCCCAGACUCCUACGGGAGGGCAGCAGUGGGGAAUCUUGCGCAAUGGGCGAAAGCCUGACGCAGCGACGCCGCGUGAGGGAUGACGGCCUGGUGUAA